GUAGGUGAACCUGCGGAAGGAUCAUUAUCAAUUUAACAGUUCGUGGGAUAGACGCUCGUAAGGCUACCCUUCCCACGCUGUUUCAACCCUUUGUCUUUUGCGUACUGUAUGUUUCCUCGGCGGGUUCGCCCACCAUAGGACAAACCAUAAACCUUUUGUAAUUGCAAUCAGCGUCAGUAAAAAAAAUUAAUAAUUACAACUUUUAACAACGGAUCUCUUGGCUCUG
Molecule: unclassified non-coding RNA, 226 nt
Filed under: rhizosphere metagenome
Description: partial ribosomal RNA internal transcribed spacer region
Source: RNAcentral